This 88-nucleotide transfer RNA is filed under the name Escherichia coli. RNAcentral's name for it is "tRNA-Ser(cag)". It matches the Rfam family "tRNA". Rfam says of the family: Transfer RNA (tRNA) molecules are approximately 80 nucleotides in length. The record is from RNAcentral. Lineage: Bacteria; Pseudomonadati; Pseudomonadota; Gammaproteobacteria; Enterobacterales; Enterobacteriaceae.
GCGAAGGUGGCGGAAUUGGUAGACGCGCUAGCUUCAGGUGUUAGUGUCCUUACGGACGUGAGGGUUCAAGUCCCCCCCCCUCGCACCA